AGUAGAGAUGGGGUUUCACCAUGUUGGUCAGGCUGGUCUCAAACCCCUGACCUCAGGUGAUCCACCCACC
RNAcentral lists this microRNA precursor (70 nucleotides) under Gorilla gorilla gorilla (western lowland gorilla). Its description in RNAcentral is "miRNA (ENSGGOG00000036509.1)". Lineage: Eukaryota; Metazoa; Chordata; Mammalia; Primates; Hominidae. The record is from RNAcentral.